This 254-nucleotide long non-coding RNA is filed under the name Eutrema salsugineum. RNAcentral's name for it is "long non-coding RNA (ESAL_LNC000136)". Lineage: Eukaryota; Viridiplantae; Streptophyta; Magnoliopsida; Brassicales; Brassicaceae. The record is from RNAcentral.
GAGGUGUCUAAGUAUCAGAACAUGCGACCUGGUCAUGCGAGUUGGGCACGAAGAAUCCCAGGCUGACGACAACACGCAUAAAACACCGGCUUGGACGUGCGGGACAGCUGAAGGUUGGGCCAGGCCGCAGCAUGAGAGGAAGGACAAGACCGUGCAGAAGAGACUUGUGUGUGACAUGGGCCUGCGGGUCAAACAAAGAAGAUCCCAAGUCGCACACAUAAGCGCACUUAACACCGAAAUGGGCGUGCGGCUCG